AUUGAACGCUGGCGGCAUGCCUUACACAUGCAAGUCGAACGGUAACGCGGGGGCAACCCUGGCGACGAGUGGCGAACGGGUGAGUAAUACAUCGGAACGUACCCAGUAGUGGGGGAGUAGCUCGGCGAAAGCCGGAUUAAUACCGCAUACGACCUAUGGGUGAAAGCGGGGGAGUCGCAAGACCUCGCGCUAUUGGAGCGGCCGAUGUCGGAUUAGCUAGUUGGUGAGGUAAAGGCUCACCAAGGCUACGAUCCGUAGCUGGUCUGAGAGGACGACCAGCCACACUGGGACUGAGACACGGCCCAGACUCCUACGGGAGGCAGCAGUGGGGAAUCUUGCGCAAUGGGCGAAAGCCUGACGCAGCGACGCCGCGUGAGGGAUGACGGCCUCGGUUGUAA
RNAcentral lists this ribosomal RNA (398 nucleotides) under uncultured bacterium. Its description in RNAcentral is "bacterial SSU rRNA". It matches the Rfam family "Bacterial small subunit ribosomal RNA", at positions 29 to 428 of the family's 1533-position model. The record is from RNAcentral.